UACACGACCGUACCGCAAACCGACACUGGUGCGCGAGAUGAGUAUUCUAAGGCGCUUGAGAGAACUCAGGAGAAGGAACUCGGCAAAUUGACACCGUAACUUCGGAAGAAGGUGUGCCUUUAGUAGGUGAAGGGAUUUACUCCUGGAGCCCAAUGAGGUUGCAAAAAAUCGGUGGCUGCGACUGUUUAUUAAAAACACAGCACUCUGCAAACACGAAAGUGGACGUAUAGGGUGUGACGCCUGCCCGGUGCUGGAAGAUUAAAUGAUGGGGUGCAAGCUCUUGAUUGAAGUCCCAGUAAACGGCGGCCGUAACUAUAACGGUCCUAAGGUAGCGAAAUUCCUUGUCGGGUAAGUUCCGACCUGCACGAAUGGCGUAACGAUGGCCACACUGUCUCCUCCUGAGACUCAGCGAAGUUGAAAUGUUUGUGAUGAUGCAAUCUCCCCGCGGAAAGACGGAAAGACCCCAUGAACCUUUACUGUAGCUUUGUAUUGGACUUUGAACAGAUCUGUGUAGGAUAGGUGGGAGGCUUUGAAGCAGGGUCGCUAGAUCUUGUGGAGCCAACGUUGAAAUACCACCCUGGUGUGUUUGAGGUUCUAACCUAGGCCCGUAAUCCGGGUUGGGGACAGUGCAUGGUAGGCAGUUUGACUGGGGCGGUCUCCUCCCAAAGUGUAACGGAGGAGUUCGAAGGUACGCUAGUUACGGUCGGACAUCGUGACGAUAGUGCAAUGGCAUAAGCGUGCUUAACUGCGAGACUGACAAGUCGAGCAGAUGCGAAAGCAGGACAUAGUGAUCCGGUGGUUCUGUAUGGAAGGGCCAUCGCUCAACGGAUAAAAGGUACUCUGGGGAUAACAGGCUGAUACCGCCCAAGAGUUCAUAUCGACGGCGGUGUUUGGCACCUCGAUGUCGGCUCAUCUCAUCCUGGGGCUGUAGCCGGUCCCAAGGGUAUGGCUGUUCGCCAUUUAAAGAGGUACGUGAGCUGGGUUUAAAACGUCGUGAGACAGUUUGGUCCCUAUCUUCCGUGGGCGCUGCAGAUUUGAGGAAGCCUGCUCCUAGUACGAGAGGACCGGAGUGGACGCACCUCUGGUGUAUCGGUUGUCACGCCAGUGGCAUUGCCGAGUAGCUAUGUGCGGAAGAGAUAACCGCUGAAAGCAUCUAAGCGGGAAACUCGUUUCAAGAUGAGAUCUGCCGGGGCCUUGAGCCCCCUGAAGAGUCGUUCAAGACCAGGACGUUGAUAGGUCGGGUGUGGAAGCGCAGUAAUGCGUUAAGCUAACCGAUACUAAUUGCUCGUGCGGCUUGGCCCC
This 1302-nucleotide ribosomal RNA is filed under the name metagenome. Its description in RNAcentral is "bacterial LSU rRNA". It matches the Rfam family "Bacterial large subunit ribosomal RNA", at positions 1635 to 2925 of the family's 2925-position model. The record is from RNAcentral.